Molecule: long non-coding RNA, 1599 nt
Organism: Camelus dromedarius (Arabian camel)
Lineage: Eukaryota; Metazoa; Chordata; Mammalia; Artiodactyla; Camelidae
Exons: 7
Source: RefSeq, a predicted model, not a curated record
CAUGAGUAUCAUGAGUGAGGGAGAUGGAGCAAACAGGAAGCCCUGAAGGAGUUCCAGAGUGUGAUGGGACUCCCUGCCUGGCCUGAGAUACCCAGUUAGCACCUGCAGAUCAGGACUUCCUCUCCCCAGCAAUGAAGCUUCCAGCCUUUGCAUCUGUAACAGCCUCCCCUGUAAUUUAUGCAUUCUAUGAUCACAGCAGCAUCCCUUGCUCACCUCUCCCUCCAGCAACUUGAGCAUCCUUGUCACACAUCUUGGGCAUCUGGCCUUCACUACCGUGGAAGAUUUGUGCAGGAGUCAGAACAUCCUAGACUGGCGCAGGCUUAGUGUGGUAGGAGCUGGAUUCAUCAGCCUGAAGUCCACAGGGCAGGCAGUCAGGAAGGAAAAGGAGAGCAGUUGCUUCACUCCAGUGAGGUGGGUCAGCAGAUGGGCAGCAAUGAGGGAUUAUCUUUAAAGUAAGAAGGAAGCUUUUCUUUCCUUGAAUGAUGAAUCUUUUAAUGCCUCAGAAUCAUGGAUCAGACAGUUGGGAGGUGCCUCACGAGACCCAGUCCUCGAAAAGAAUCAAAUGGUGGCCCCAGUUGCAGCUGCUGUGCCAGAUGUGGUUUUACUGAAGCAUGUAUGCCUCCAGUACGUAUUAAGUGGCCAUUGAUCUGGAAGCAGCAAGAGCAAGACUGUGUCUUGACAGCAAGAGCAAGAAUGCACCGGCUAAAGAAGAGUCAUUAAGAACAAAGGCUGUGCUAAAACUACACUUGAAGAUGUUACACCCUUGUAAAUAAAAAAAUUCUAAGGAAUCCACCAAAAAAUUUUAGAGCUUAUUCAGCAAGGUUGCAGGAGACAAGAUGAAUAUAUGAAAAUCAAUUGUAGUUCUAUACACAAAUAAUGAACAAUCCAAAACUGAAAUUAAGGAAACAAUUUCAUUUAUAAUAGCAUCAAAAAAUAAAAUACUUAGGAAUAAAUUUAGCAGAAGAAGUGUAAGACUUUUAAGGCCAGAAACUCCAAAAUACCAUCAAAAGAAAUUAAUGAUUUAAAUGGAAAUACGUUCCAUGUUUAUAGAUCAGAAGAUUUAAUAUUAUUAAGAUGGCAAUACUCCCCAAAUUGAUUUACAGAUUUGACAUAAUCCCCAUUAAAUUCCAGCUGCAUUUUUUUUUUGCAGGAAAUGACAAGUUGAACCUCAAAAACCCCAGAAUAGUCAUAACAUCUUGACAAAGAAAAAGUUGGAGGACACACGUUUCCUGAUUCCCAAAUUUACCACAAGGCUACAGAUACUACAAAUAAACACCGGCAUGAAGAUAGACAUACAGACCAGUCAAAUAGAAUUGAGGGUUUAGAAAUCAAGCCAUACUUUUAUGGUCAGUCCAUUUUUAACACGUGUGCCAAGACAAAUCCAUGGGGGAAGAAACAUCUUUUCAAUAAGUGGUGGGACAACUGGAUAUCCACAUACAAAAGAAUAAAGUUGGACCCCUGUCUCACACUAUAUACAAAAAUUAACUCAAAAUGGAUCAGAGGUCAAAAUGUAAUAGCUAAAAUUAUAAGACACUUAGAAGAAAACAUAGGCAUCAAUCUAGGUGACCUUAGGUUAGGCAGUGGAUUUUUAGGUAGCAA